RNAcentral lists this ribosomal RNA (732 nucleotides) under uncultured Peptococcaceae bacterium. RNAcentral's name for it is "bacterial SSU rRNA". It matches the Rfam family "Bacterial small subunit ribosomal RNA", at positions 63 to 772 of the family's 1533-position model. Lineage: Bacteria; Bacillati; Bacillota; Clostridia; Eubacteriales; Peptococcaceae. The record is from RNAcentral.
CGAGACGAUUGAAAGCUUGCUUUUGAAAGUCGAGUGGCAAACGGGUGAGUAACGCGUAGACAACCUGCCGUAAAGAUGGGGACAACAGUCCGAAAGGACUGCUAAUACCGAAUGUUGUGGAACUUCCGCAUGGGAGCUCCACUAAAGAUGACCUCUACUUGUAAGCUAUCGCUUUACGAUGGGUCUGCGUCUGAUUAGCUAGUUGGUGGGGUAACGGCUUACCAAGGCGACGAUCAGUAGCCGGUCUGAGAGGAUGAACGGCCACAUUGGAACUGAGACACGGUCCAGACUCCUACGGGAGGCAGCAGUGGGGAAUCUUCCGCAAUGGGCGCAAGCCUGACGGAGCAACGCCGCGUGAGUGAAGAAGGGUUUCGACUCGUAAAGCUCUGUUGUCGGGGACGAAUGUGGAGGUUGUGAAUAACAGCUUCCAAUGACGGUACCUGACGAGGAAGCCACGGCUAACUACGUGCCAGCAGCCGCGGUAAUACGUAGGUGGCGAGCGUUGUCCGGAAUUAUUGGGCGUAAAGGGAGCGCAGGCGGGAGGUCAAGUCUAUCUUAAAAGUGCGGGGCUCAACCCCGUGAGGGGAUGGAAACUGGUCUUCUUGAGUGCAGGAGAGGAAAGCGGAAUUCCUAGUGUAGCGGUGAAAUGCGUAGAUAUUAGGAGGAACACCAGUGGCGAAGGCGGCUUUCUGGACUGUAACUGACGCUGAGGCUCGAAGCGUGGGGAGCGAA